GAGUUUACAAAAAUCACCAAGUUUGGGUAUAUUUAGAAGUGGACUGGAUAAGUUUUAUAGGACUGAUGAUAUAUUUAAACCUUUCAACUAUGGGAUAAGGAAAACUAAAAUAUAAGUCCAUUGUCAACUCAGAAAUAAUGCUAGCAACCUUAAAUCUCAUUUGUUUAAUCAGUUCUUAUCCGAGAACACUUUUUGCACAAACUGUAACCAUCCUGUUGAGGAUAACCAACAUUUUUUUUUUUAUUUGCCCUAAGUAUAAUGAUGUAAGACAGAUCCUUCUUGAUUCCAUUUACUCCAUUGUUGAUAAUGUUGACAUAAA
RNAcentral lists this long non-coding RNA (319 nucleotides) under Mytilus galloprovincialis (Mediterranean mussel). The record is from RNAcentral. Lineage: Eukaryota; Metazoa; Mollusca; Bivalvia; Mytilida; Mytilidae.